This is a long non-coding RNA of Gallus gallus (chicken), 2277 nucleotides long. NCBI's taxonomy places the organism in Eukaryota, Metazoa, Chordata, Aves, Galliformes, Phasianidae. The record is from Ensembl.
AAUAAAGUGAUUUCAAAGUAAAGGAAUUUAGCAUUCUGAACUUCUGAAUACCUUUGAAAUAGGAAGCACCUAGUGAGAGAACUUCACAACACAAGCUUCUGGUAUUACCUUUAUUUCAAUCAAUCCACAUAGAAAUAAAUUGCCACAGCUUUUAAGAAACUUCUGUUGAACCAAUGGCUAGAUUGUUUAAGCGUGAUCAUUGAAGAUGUAAUCAUCUGAGUCACUGUUUCAAUUCAAGCCAAAAACAUCACUCAGUUGUCCUAUGUAAUCUUAUGUGAAGUCAAUAAUCAUCCACUCAACAGAUCAGCUCUGAUGCCUUGCACAUCCCUUGCUGGUUUCCUCUCUGUAAAAGAAAAGCUUUAUUUAAUUUGCAGUCAGCAUCAAAUACCUGAAUGAAGUUAAGUGGCCUAAGAUUGAACUAUAUGAAGAAGCUACAUGACAUUAACCUUAAAUCAAAGGCAUUUCUCAAUAAGUAUUACAUUUCUACAGGACAGGAUUUUCCUUGCCCAUACCAUUUAUACACAUUCCAGUUCAGGGCAAGUCUAGGAAGAAAAAACAGGUCCACUUUCCCAGAUGUUAUUUAAUUUAGUUUGGCUGAUCUACAUAAAAUCAGUUUUAAAAAUUCUAGAUUUCCACAGAGGUUUCCAGUAGUCCAAACUGGUUUCAAGAGAUUUUUUGUUUGUUUGUUUAUUUAACUUUCAGGUAAGCAAUAAUUUAAGCUGCUUAGCUAGAGACAACACAACCCCAUCCACUCAGGUCUGAUAAGCCUUUUUAUACUACAUACCCGGAGACUUAUCAAUUCACAAGGAACUCUUGUGACUCCACAUUGUUUAUUGCCAUCUCACAAAGCAUAUUCUAGGUGGUCAAGGAGUACCAACACACUUGAGGACUCUGAAAACUGGAAAAGAUUAAUGUGAAACAGAAUUAGAUAACACGAUCAUCAGAUGACUUCUCAAAUUCUAGAAGCUUCUUUGAAUGCAAUAAAUAACUUUCUGAAACUCAUGAAAGUGGUUUUAUGGUUUCAUUAACAUGUUCCUCUCAGCGUGAUCCAAAGAAGAGUUUCAGCCUCACCUCUGGGUUUGAGAGAGAACUGUUAUACCCCUCCGUACUGGCCACUUAAGACACUGACAGACUUAAGAGGGCAAAGCUAAAAAGGGGAGUAGAUCAUACUAACUUGUUUUUAAGAUUAUUUGCAUUUACCAUUUACUCAAACUAGAUAACGUACUCGAAACUCAUGAAUUACCAAAAAGAAUGACUUAAAAUGGCCAAUAAAUCAUCAUACUAGGAAGCACUUACCUUCUUAAUAGAAGGUAUUAUUCAUUCCUAAGGAAUCCUGAGAACUGCUUUCAAUUUAGGUGUGAUCAUCCAUUUCCAGGCUGCUCCAAUCAUGAAACUGCUAAGUGACCCCUAAACAGCACAAAUUAUUACAGUGUAAGUUUUCAGAAGUCACUUAUGAACUUCAUCAUCAAAUAUCUAGAGCAAGGUGUAGACGGUUUAAUCAGAUGGAUGAGAAUAUCCUUUCCUAAUAUGGCCAUUUAAGCUAAAUAGGACAUAUCUUCUUAAUAUCUCUGAAUACGCUGCUAAACAGGAAGCCUACAUUACUUCUAGUGCCACUACCCCGAAGUUGGGAGUUCCCAGCUUUAUGAGAAGCCUUAACUGGCUAAUUUGUUUCCACCGUGUACCUACUUGCUAUACCUUGCAACAAAUUACAGGCAGAGGAACGACUGGGAGGCACCAAAAGCUACAGUAGCAGACAGAAGAGCAGGCCGGGCCUACGGAAAACUACUGCAGAGGCAAAGCAACGACGCUCAGCGCACGACCUGCGAGACUCGAAGGGAACAGAGGAAGGCUCACGCUGAGCCGGCACGCCCCUUACCUGCCGGCAUCAGCACACGCGGCUCCAGCCCCAGCAUGCCCACGGCAGCGGCCGCCCGGGGCGGGGAGCAACCAGCCGGGCACCCGGCGGGCAGAGCCACGGAAGGCAUCGGGAGGCCAGAGAAGUCAGCGUGGGAGGUGAGGGAAGGAGCCGGGGACGAAGGGAGGGGACGCUUGUGCCUCACGACAGGAUGCAGGGCGGAGGGGCGGCUCCGCACUGGGUUUAUGUGAGGAAGGCGCUCUAUCCCCCUGUGUUGACUCCUCGGGGCACUGUCAGGCUCCGAGAGGGCAAAUGUGAAGGGAAGAUGCAACGUAGGCCCCCGCCCCGCCCUUCGCCCACCGGCACGAGCCUCCCCCAGCCCUUCACACCACCCGCCCCUCAUGUGAGAGGAACGUCGGGCG